UACAGAGGGUGCGAGCGUUGUUCGGAAUUAUUGGGCGUAAAGGGCGCGUAGGCGGUGCGGUAAGUCACCUGUGAAAUCUCCUGGCUCAACUGGGAGCUUGCAGGCGAAACUGCCGUGCUGGAGUGUGGGAGAGGUGCGUGGAAUUCUCGGUGUAGCGGUGAAAUGCGUAGAUAUCGAGAGGAACACCUGCGGCGAAGGCGGGUUGCUGGGCUGACACUGACGCUGAGGCGCGAAAGCUAGGGGAGCGAACGGG
This 253-nucleotide ribosomal RNA is filed under the name uncultured bacterium. Its description in RNAcentral is "partial 16S ribosomal RNA". It matches the Rfam family "Bacterial small subunit ribosomal RNA", at positions 524 to 776 of the family's 1533-position model. The record is from RNAcentral.